GAUCCUGGCCUCGCAGUUAGCCCUAGGUCUAUGCGCUGUUUAAAAAAAUUAAGCAUACAUUUCCAUGACUAUCUGCUUCAAAGUCACCGAACAUUUAACUGGAAGAGGACCAGCUGUUUUUGGUAUUACAGAAUUGGCCUUGAACUUCGCUCUGGAAGGGGCACGUCAACUUGACUCAGGACUGGAGUCUGGCUUUAGAGAUUAGUUGCAAUAAUAACAGUUCUAACAAACGUCGUCAGGAAAGCGAUCAGACUA
Asterias rubens (European starfish) is the source of this 255-nucleotide long non-coding RNA. RefSeq lists it as uncharacterized. Lineage: Eukaryota; Metazoa; Echinodermata; Asteroidea; Forcipulatida; Asteriidae. The transcript has 3 exons. The record is from RefSeq and is a predicted model, not a curated record.